This 385-nucleotide ribosomal RNA is filed under the name uncultured bacterium. RNAcentral's name for it is "bacterial SSU rRNA". It matches the Rfam family "Bacterial small subunit ribosomal RNA", at positions 29 to 443 of the family's 1533-position model. The record is from RNAcentral.
AGCGAACGCUGGCGGCAGGCCUAACACAUGCAAGUCGAGCGCCCAGCAAUGGGAGCGGCAGACGGGAUAGUAACACGUGGGAACGUACCCUUCAGUUCGGAACAACCCAGGGAAACUUGGGCUAAUACCGAAUACGUCCGUAAGGAGAAAGAUUUAUCGCUGAAGGAUCGGCCCGCGUCUGAUUAGCUAGUUGGUGAGGUAACGGCUCACCAAGGCGACGAUCAGUAGCUGGUCUGAGAGGAUGAUCAGCAUCACUGGGACUGAGACACGGCCCAGACUCCUACGGGAGGCAGCAGUGGGGAAUAUUGGACAAUGGGCGCAAGCCUGAUCCAGCCAUGCCGCGUGGAUGAUGAAGGCCCUAGGGUUGUAAAGUCCUUUCGGCGGG